GGGGGAGCGCCGGAUCCUGGGCUGUGUCCCCAGCGCCCUGGGCGCCCGAGCCUUCGCUGUUGGAUUCGUGCUCCUGGCUGUGCAGCCCCCU
This 91-nucleotide microRNA precursor is filed under the name Canis lupus familiaris (dog). Its description in RNAcentral is "mir-8799 microRNA precursor family". It matches the Rfam family "mir-8799 microRNA precursor family". Lineage: Eukaryota; Metazoa; Chordata; Mammalia; Carnivora; Canidae. RNAcentral also lists the same sequence under 1 other name. The record is from Rfam by way of RNAcentral.